RNAcentral lists this unclassified non-coding RNA (682 nucleotides) under Hevea brasiliensis (rubber tree). Lineage: Eukaryota; Viridiplantae; Streptophyta; Magnoliopsida; Malpighiales; Euphorbiaceae. The record is from RNAcentral.
CUUUAAAAAACCCAAAAAACGACGUAAAGCAGCAGUUCAUGCCCAUCCUCUCUCUCAAUCGCCAUUGGAAUCAAUCAGAUUCUUUUAUUAUUCAAAGCAGCAAAGCAAACCACAGAUUUACAAAAACCCUAAUGGCAUGUGAAUCCCCCAAUUAUACUUUGUCCUCUGAUUAAUCUAACCAUGUAUUUCUCUUAACCUCUCAAAUUUUCCAUACAAAAUUUCACCAACCAAUCCUCAAAAUUUCACCAACCAAUCCUCCAUUAGAGCGAACAAAGUAGAGCGACAGAGAGAGAGAGGGGGGAGAAAUGCCUAGCGUCGCCGUCAAGUUGUAUAGUGUCUUCUUCAAGUUCCUCUUGAAGCACCGUUUGCAGAAUCGGAUCCAAACCCCACAUGAUGAUUCUAAUCCCUUCGGCAUUACAACCCGACCCGAAGAGUCCGUCUCCGCUGCCAAUCCGUCAUUUGCCGAUGGCUUCGCCACAAAGGAUAUUCAUAUCGACCCUUUAACCUCUCUCUCUGUAAGGAUCUUCCUUCCUGAGUCUGCUCUUAAUCCUCCUGAACCUGAUUCUAAGCACCAUUCCAAACUUAAAUCCAAGCCUAACCCUAGAUGGCUCGGUCUUGAUCAAAAUGACAGCUCCACCGCCUUCAUUCCCAAUCACCACCUCCAGACUCUACGCCGUAAUAG